Folsomia candida is the source of this 1048-nucleotide RNA transcript. RefSeq lists it as uncharacterized. The transcript has 3 exons. The record is from RefSeq and is a predicted model, not a curated record. NCBI's taxonomy places the organism in Eukaryota, Metazoa, Arthropoda, Collembola, Entomobryomorpha, Isotomidae.
GGCGGCGGUGGUGGCGGUGGUGGAUAUGGGUAAGUUUUUUUUACGCCAGCGCCAUGAAGUAUUGGGUGAAAGUUAAUUCCCACGUCGGGUGUAAGCAAAUUGCCACUUAUAAUCGCAAUGAAGUGGUUUUUUGCAGCUAUUUUGACCUGCAAGAAAUGCAAGAGGCAAGAAACUCCUUCUCAAUGCUAUAUUCGUAGGGCCCGUCGCUAGACGGCUCAAAUUUCUUUCACUUUCUUGCAGUUUUUUGCCCCUCACAUUUUUUAAGUUUCUGGCUUUGCAACGCAAGAAAGGAACAUUGAAAGUGUAUUUAUAUUUCAUUUGUAGAGGCCAUAAGAAGGGGUACGGAGGGGGCGGUGGGGGUGGCUACGGGUAAGAAUUUUUGACCCCAACGCUGUGAGGUUUCCGGUGAAAGUUUAUUCCAAUGUAUGUUGAAUUGCAGAGGGCAUAAGAAGGGGUACGGAGGGGGCGGUGGGGGUGGCUACGGGUAAGAAUUUUUGACGCCAGCGCGAUGAAGUAUCGGGUGAAAGUUUAUUUCAAUGUAUAUUUAUAUUUGAUUUGCAGCGGUGGGCAUAAGAAGGGAUAGUAAGUUUUCAUGAAUCCCAGUUGCUUAGGGUGAAAGUUGUUCCAAAACUUAACAAGUUUUUAAUUUGCAGUGGUGGGGGUGGUGGCGGAUAUGGUGGUGGCGGUGGCGGACAUAAAGGAUACGGCGGUGGUGGUGGAGGGUACGGAGGCGGUGGGGGUGGCGGAUACCAUUAAAGAAGCCAGACUGUGAUCAUAAACAGUAUUUGUACAGUCAUCCGAGUAUCUCCCCAUAGAAGACCUUACUAUAAUUACUACAAGCGACCAAAUUUGUUCACAAAUUAGCAAGUAUAAAAUACAUAGUCCCAUAUAUACUUUCCUUUAUUAGUCUCUAUAGCCAUUUCAACAAGGUAAAUUUUCUGGUUUACUAUUUGAACAUGUAAUAACUGUACAUAAAUGCUCAGAAAAAGUGAGCAUAGUAAAGCGUUAUAAAACCAAUAAAUAAAAGAUACAUUUUCUAAAUAAAUUA